AGUCGGCAUUGCCGGCGUUCAUGGAGACAUUGUCGAUGAUCGCAGAGACUUUGUCCAUAAUCUCAGAGACAUUGUCCGCGAUCGCAGAGACGUAGUCCACGAUCACAGAAGACCAGGUGUCACCACUUCGUCCACGAUCGCUGAGACGUCGUCCAUGAUCGGAGAGACAUUGUUGAGGAUGAGGGAGACAUCGUCCACAAUCAGAGACAUUGUCCGUGAUCGCAGAGACCUUGUCAAAGAUGAGAGAGACGUUGUCCAUGGUCAGAAACAUUGUCUCUGCUUCGCAGAGCUCUGCGCAAGAAUCGGUAGUGACACUGUGGUUCCUCGAUUCGACGGCAUGACCGCGAUCAGCUGACAUUGUUAAUGAUCACAGAGAAACAGUCUAUCAUCAGAGACUUGGUCCACGAUCACAGACACAUUGUCAAUGAUUGCAGAGACUUUGUCCAUAAUCUCAGAGACAUUGUCCGCGAUCACAGAGACGUAGUCCUCGAUCACAGAAGAUCAGGUGUCACCACUUCAUCCACGACAUCGUCCAUGAUCGGAGAGACAUUGUUGAGGAUGAGGGAGACAUCGUCCUCGAUCAGAGACAUUGUCCGUGACUCGUGGUGACUCGGUCCCCGAUAAGUCGGCAUUGCCGGCGUUCACGGAGACAUUGUCGAUGAUCUCAGAGACUUUGUCCACGAUCUCAGAGACAUUGUCCGCGAUCACAGAGAGUCUUCGUACAGUGACGUUCUUUGAGACCAGGACAGAGGCCUCCAGGUGUCACCACUUCAUCCACGACAUCAUCCACGACAUCGUCCACGAUCGCUGAGACAUCGUCAAUGAUCGGAGAGACAUUGUUGAGGAUGAGGGAGACAUCGUCCUCGAUCAGAGACAUUGUCCGUGACUCGUGGUGACUCGGUCCCCGAUAAGUCGGCAUUGCCGGCGUUCAUGGAGACAUUGUCGAUGAUCGCAGAGACUUUGUCCAUAAUCUCAGAGACAUUGUCCGCGAUCGCAGAGACGUAGUCCACGAUCACAGAAGACCAGGUGUCACCACUUCGUCCACGAUCGCUGAGACGUCGUCCAUGAUCGGAGAGACAUUGUUGAGGAUGAGGGAGACAUCGUCCACAAUCAGAGACAUUGUCCGUGAUCGCAGAGGCCUUGUCAAAGAUGAGAGAGACGUUGUCCAUGGUCAGAAACAUUGUCUCUGCUUCGCAGAGCUCUGCGCAAGAAUCGGUAGUGACACUGUGGUUCCUCGAUUCGACGGCAUGACCGCGAUCAGCUGACAUUGUUAAUGAUCACAGAGAAACAGUCUAUCAUCAGAGACUUGGUCCACGAUCACAGACACAUUGUCAAUGAUUGCAGAGACUUUGUCCAUAAUCUCAGAGACAUUGUCCGCGAUCACAGAGACGUAGUCCUCGAUCACAGAAGAUCAGGUGUCACCACUUCAUCCACGACAUCGUCCAUGAUCGGAGAGACAUUGUUGAGGAUGAGGGAGACAUCGUCCUCGAUCAGAGACAUUGUCCGUGACUCGUGGUGACUCGGUCCCCGAUAAGUCGGCAUUGCCGGCGUUCAUGGAGACAUUGUCGAUGAUCGCAGAGACUUUGUCCACGAUCUCAGAGACAUUGUCCACGAUCGCAGAGACGUCGUCCACGAUCGCAGAGAAUCUUCGUACGGUGAAGUUCUUUGAGACCAGGACAGAGGCCUCCAGGUGUCACCACUUCGUCCACGACAUCGUCCACGAUCGCUGAGACGUCGUCAAUGAUCGGAGAGACAUUGUUGAGGAUGAGGGAGACAUCGUCCUCGAUCAGAGACAUUGUCCGUGACUCGUGGUGACUCGGUCCCCGAUAAGUCGGCAUUGCCGGCGUUCAUGGAGACAUUGUCGAUGAUCGCAGAGACUUUGUCCAUAAUCUCAGAGACAUUGUCCGCGAUCGCAGAGACGUAGUCCACGAUCACAGAAGACCAGGUGUCACCACUUCGUCCACGAUCGCUGAGACGUCGUCCAUGAUCGGAGAGACAUUGUUGAGGAUGAGGGAGACAUCGUCCACAAUCAGAGACAUUGUCCGUGAUCGCAGAGACCUUGUCAAAGAUGAGAGAGACGUUGUCCAUGGUCGGAAACAUUGUCUCUGCUUCGCAGAGCUCUGCGCAAGAAUCGGUAGUGACACUGUGGUUCCUCGAUUCGACGGCAUGACCGCGAUCAGCUGACAUUGUUAAUGAUCACAGAGAAACAGUCUAUCAUCAGAGACUUGGUCCACGAUCACAGACACAUUGUCAAUGAUUGCAGAGACUUUGUCCAUAAUCUCAGAGACAUUGUCCGCGAUCACAGAGACGUAGUCCUCGAUCACAGAAGAUCAGGUGUCACCACUUCAUCCACGACAUCGUCCAUGAUCGGAGAGACAUUGUUGAGGAUGAGGGAGACAUCGUCCUCGAUCAGAGACAUUGUCCGUGACUCGUGGUGACUCGGUCCCCGAUAAGUCGGCAUUGCCGGCGUUCACGGAGACAUUGUCGAUGAUCGCAGAGACUUUGUCCACGAUCUCAGAGACAUUGUCCGCGAUCACAGAGAGUCUUCGUACAGUAAAGUUCUUUGAGACCAGGACAGAGGCCUCCAGGUGUCACCACUUCAUCCACGACAUCAUCCACGACAUCGUCCACGAUCGCUGAGACAUCGUCAAUGAUCGGAGAGACAUUGUUGAGGAUGAGGGAGACAUCGUCCUCGAUCAGAGACAUUGUCCGUGACUCGUGGUGACUCGGUCCCCGAUAAGUCGGCAUUGCCGGCGUUCAUGGAGACAUUGUCGAUGAUCGCAGAGACUUUGUCCAUAAUCUCAGAGACAUUGUCCGCGAUCGCAGAGACGUAGUCCACGAUCACAGAAGACCAGGUGUCACCACUUCGUCCACGAUCGCUGAGACGUCGUCCAUGAUCGGAGAGACAUUGUUGAGGAUGAGGGAGACAUCGUCCACAAUCAGAGACAUUGUCCGUGAUCGCAGAGACCUUGUCAAAGAUGAGAGAGACGUUGUCCAUGGUCAGAAACAUUGUCUCUGCUUCGCAGAGCUCUGCGCAAGAAUCGGUAGUGACACUGUGGUUCCUCGAUUCGACGGCAUGACCGCGAUCAGCUGACAUUGUUAAUGAUCACAGAGAAACAGUCUAUCAUCAGAGACUUGGUCCACGAUCACAGACACAUUGUCAAUGAUUGCAGAGACUUUGUCCAUAAUCUCAGAGACAUUGUCCGCGAUCACAGAGACGUAGUCCUCGAUCACAGAAGAUCAGGUGUCACCACUUCAUCCACGACAUCGUCCAUGAUCGGAGAGACAUUGUUGAGGAUGAGGGAGACAUCGUCCUCGAUCAGAGACAUUGUCCGUGACUCGUGGUGACUCGGUCCCCGAUAAGUCGGCAUUGCCGGCGUUCAUGGAGACAUUGUCGAUGAUCGCAGAGACUUUGUCCACGAUCUCAGAGACAUUGUCCACGAUCGCAGAGACGUCGUCCACGAUCGCAGAGAAUCUUCGUACAAUGAAGUUCUUUGAGACCAGGACAGAGGCCUCCAGGUGUCACCACUUCGUCCACGACAUCGUCCACGAUCGCUGAGACGUCGUCAAUGAUCGGAGAGACAUUGUUGAGGAUGAGGGAGACAUCGUCCUCGAUCAGAGACAUUGUCCGUGACUCGUGGUGACUCGGUCCCCGAUAAGUCGGCAUUGCCGGCGUUCAUGGAGACAUUGUCGAUGAUCGCAGAGACUUUGUCCAUAAUCUCAGAGACAUUGUCCGCGAUCGCAGAGACGUAGUCCACGAUCACAGAAGACCAGGUGUCACCACUUCGUCCACGAUCGCUGAGACGUCGUCCAUGAUCGGAGAGACAUUGUUGAGGAUGAGGGAGACAUCGUCCACAAUCAGAGACAUUGUCCGUGAUCGCAGAGACCUUGUCAAAGAUGAGAGAGACGUUGUCCAUGGUCAGAAACAUUGUCUCUGCUUCGCAGAGCUCUGCGCAAGAAUCGGUAGUGACACUGUGGUUCCUCGAUUCGACGGCAUGACCGCGAUCAGCUGACAUUGUUAAUGAUCACAGAGAAACAGUCUAUCAUCAGAGACUUGGUCCACGAUCACAGACACAUUGUCAAUGAUUGCAGAGACUUUGUCCAUAAUCUCAGAGACAUUGUCCGCGAUCACAGAGACGUAGUCCUCGAUCACAGAAGAUCAGGUGUCACCACUUCAUCCACGACAUCGUCCAUGAUCGGAGAGACAUUGUUGAGGAUGAGGGAGACAUCGUCCUCGAUCAGAGACAUUGUCCGUGACUCGUGGUGACUCGGUCCCCGAUAAGUCGGCAUUGCCGGCGUUCACGGAGACAUUGUCGAUGAUCUCAGAGACUUUGUCCACGAUCUCAGAGACAUUGUCCGCGAUCACAGAGAGUCUUCGUACAGUGACGUUCUUUGAGACCAGGACAGAGGCCUCCAGGUGUCACCACUUCAUCCACGACAUCAUCCACGACAUCGUCCACGAUCGCUGAGACAUCGUCAAUGAUCGGAGAGACAUUGUUGAGGAUGAGGGAGACAUCGUCCUCGAUCAGAGACAUUGUCCGUGACUCGUGGUGACUCGGUCCCCGAUAAGUCGGCAUUGCCGGCGUUCAUGGAGACAUUGUCGAUGAUCGCAGAGACUUUGUCCAUAAUCUCAGAGACAUUGUCCGCGAUCGCAGAGACGUAGUCCACGAUCACAGAAGACCAGGUGUCACCACUUCGUCCACGAUCGCUGAGACGUCGUCCAUGAUCGGAGAGACAUUGUUGAGGAUGAGGGAGACAUCGUCCACAAUCAGAGACAUUGUCCGUGAUCGCAGAGACCUUGUCAAAGAUGAGAGAGACGUUGUCCAUGGUCAGAAACAUUGUCUCUGCUUCGCAGAGCUCUGCGCAAGAAUCGGUAGUGACACUGUGGUUCCUCGAUUCGACGGCAUGACCGCGAUCAGCUGACAUUGUUAAUGAUCACAGAGAAACAGUCUAUCAUCAGAGACUUGGUCCACGAUCACAGACACAUUGUCAAUGAUUGCAGAGACUUUGUCCAUAAUCUCAGAGACAUUGUCCGCGAUCACAGAGACGUAGUCCUCGAUCACAGAAGAUCAGGUGUCACCACUUCAUCCACGACAUCGUCCAUGAUCGGAGAGACAUUGUUGAGGAUGAGGGAGACAUCGUCCUCGAUCAGAGACAUUGUCCGUGACUCGUGGUGACUCGGUCCCCGAUAAGUCGGCAUUGCCGGCAUUCAUGGAGACAUUGUCGAUGAUCGCAGAGACUUUGUCCACGAUCUCAGAGACAUUGUCCACGAUCGCAGAGACGUUGUCCACGAUCGCAGAGAAUCUUCGUACAAUGAAGUUCUUUGAGACCAGGACAGAGGCCUCCAGGUGUCACCACUUCAUCCACGACAUCAUCCACGACAUCGUCCACGAUCGCUGAGACAUCGUCAAUGAUCGGAGAGACAUUGUUGAGGAUGAGGGAGACAUCGUCCUCGAUCAGAGACAUUGUCCGUGACUCGUGGUGACUCGGUCCCCGAUAAGUCGGCAUUGCCGGCGUUCAUGGAGACAUUGUCGAUGAUCGCAGAGACUUUGUCCAUAAUCUCAGAGACAUUGUCCGCGAUCGCAGAGACGUAGUCCACGAUCACAGAAGACCAGGUGUCACCACUUCGUCCACGAUCGCUGAGACGUCGUCCAUGAUCGGAGAGACAUUGUUGAGGAUGAGGGAGACAUCGUCCACAAUCAGAGACAUUGUCCGUGAUCGCAGAGACCUUGUCAAAGAUGAGAGAGACGUUGUCCAUGGUCAGAAACAUUGUCUCUGCUUCGCAGAGCUCUGCGCAAGAAUCGGUAGUGACACUGUGGUUCCUCGAUUCGACGGCAUGACCGCGAUCAGCUGACAUUGUUAAUGAUCACAGAGAAACAGUCUAUCAUCAGAGACUUGGUCCACGAUCACAGACACAUUGUCAAUGAUUGCAGAGACUUUGUCCAUAAUCUCAGAGACAUUGUCCGCGAUCACAGAGACGUAGUCCUCGAUCACAGAAGAUCAGGUGUCACCACUUCAUCCACGACAUCGUCCAUGAUCGGAGAGACAUUGUUGAGGAUGAGGGAGACAUCGUCCUCGAUCAGAGACAUUGUCCGUGACUCGUGGUGACUCGGUCCCCGAUAAGUCGGCAUUGCCGGCGUUCAUGGAGACAUUGUCGAUGAUCGCAGAGACUUUGUCCACGAUCUCAGAGACAUUGUCCACGAUCGCAGAGACGUCGUCCACGAUCGCAGAGAAUCUUCGUACGGUGAAGUUCUUUGAGACCAGGACAGAGGCCUCCAGGUGUCACCACUUCGUCCACGACAUCGUCCACGAUCGCUGAGACGUCGUCAAUGAUCGGAGAGACAUUGUUGAGGAUGAGGGAGACAUCGUCCUCGAUCAGAGACAUUGUCCGUGACUCGUGGUGACUCGGUCCCCGAUAAGUCGGCAUUGCCGGCGUUCAUGGAGACAUUGUCGAUGAUCGCAGAGACUUUGUCCAUAAUCUCAGAGACAUUGUCCGCGAUCGCAGAGACGUAGUCCACGAUCACAGAAGACCAGGUGUCACCACUUCGUCCACGAUCGCUGAGACGUCGUCCAUGAUCGGAGAGACAUUGUUGAGGAUGAGGGAGACAUCGUCCACAAUCAGAGACAUUGUCCGUGAUCGCAGAGACCUUGUCAAAGAUGAGAGAGACGUUGUCCAUGGUCGGAAACAUUGUCUCUGCUUCGCAGAGCUCUGCGCAAGAAUCGGUAGUGACACUGUGGUUCCUCGAUUCGACGGCAUGACCGCGAUCAGCUGACAUUGUUAAUGAUCACAGAGAAACAGUCUAUCAUCAGAGACUUGGUCCACGAUCACAGACACAUUGUCAAUGAUUGCAGAGACUUUGUCCAUAAUCUCAGAGACAUUGUCCGCGAUCACAGAGACGUAGUCCUCGAUCACAGAAGAUCAGGUGUCACCACUUCAUCCACGACAUCGUCCAUGAUCGGAGAGACAUUGUUGAGGAUGAGGGAGACAUCGUCCUCGAUCAGAGACAUUGUCCGUGACUCGUGGUGACUCGGUCCCCGAUAAGUCGGCAUUGCCGGCGUUCACGGAGACAUUGUCGAUGAUCGCAGAGACUUUGUCCACGAUCUCAGAGACAUUGUCCGCGAUCACAGAGAGUCUUCGUACAGUAAAGUUCUUUGAGACCAGGACAGAGGCCUCCAGGUGUCACCACUUCAUCCACGACAUCAUCCACGACAUCGUCCACGAUCGCUGAGACAUCGUCAAUGAUCGGAGAGACAUUGUUGAGGAUGAGGGAGACAUCGUCCUCGAUCAGAGACAUUGUCCGUGACUCGUGGUGACUCGGUCCCCGAUAAGUCGGCAUUGCCGGCGUUCAUGGAGACAUUGUCGAUGAUCGCAGAGACUUUGUCCAUAAUCUCAGAGACAUUGUCCGCGAUCGCAGAGACGUAGUCCACGAUCACAGAAGACCAGGUGUCACCACUUCGUCCACGAUCGCUGAGACGUCGUCCAUGAUCGGAGAGACAUUGUUGAGGAUGAGGGAGACAUCGUCCACAAUCAGAGACAUUGUCCGUGAUCGCAGAGACCUUGUCAAAGAUGAGAGAGACGUUGUCCAUGGUCAGAAACAUUGUCUCUGCUUCGCAGAGCUCUGCGCAAGAAUCGGUAGUGACACUGUGGUUCCUCGAUUCGACGGCAUGACCGCGAUCAGCUGACAUUGUUAAUGAUCACAGAGAAACAGUCUAUCAUCAGAGACUUGGUCCACGAUCACAGACACAUUGUCAAUGAUUGCAGAGACUUUGUCCAUAAUCUCAGAGACAUUGUCCGCGAUCACAGAGACGUAGUCCUCGAUCACAGAAGAUCAGGUGUCACCACUUCAUCCACGA
Long non-coding RNA from Lates calcarifer (barramundi perch), 7854 nucleotides. RefSeq lists it as uncharacterized. The record is from RefSeq and is a predicted model, not a curated record. NCBI's taxonomy places the organism in Eukaryota, Metazoa, Chordata, Actinopteri, Centropomidae. The transcript has 9 exons.